RNAcentral lists this ribosomal RNA (232 nucleotides) under uncultured bacterium. RNAcentral describes it as "partial 16S ribosomal RNA". It matches the Rfam family "Bacterial small subunit ribosomal RNA", at positions 118 to 348 of the family's 1533-position model. The record is from RNAcentral.
UGAGCAAUCUGCCCUUCUCUUCGGAAUAAGCGUUGGAAACGACGUCUAAUGCCGAAUACGACCUCCUUUCGCAUGAUCGGAGGUGGAAAGCUCCGGCGGAGAAGGAUGAGCUCGCGGCCUAUCAGCUAGUUGGUGUGGGUAAUGGCCCACCAAGGCGACGACGGGUAGCCGGCCUGAGAGGGUGACCGGCCACACGUGGGACUGAGACACGGCCCAGACUCCGUACGGGAGG